Molecule: long non-coding RNA, 679 nt
Filed under: Equus asinus (donkey)
Lineage: Eukaryota; Metazoa; Chordata; Mammalia; Perissodactyla; Equidae
Description: lncRNA (ENSEASG00005030718.1)
Source: RNAcentral
CAUCUUCCUCUACUUUAUAUGUGGGAUGCCCGCCACAUCAUGGCUUGCCAAGCAGUGUCACGUCCGCACCGGGGAACUGAACCGGUGAACCCUGGGCCACCAAAGUGGAACAUGGGAACUUAACCACUGCGCCACCAGGCCGGCCCCAACCUGGGACCUUCUUAUCUACUCAAGUAACACCUUUUAGCACUUUGGAUCCUCCCUAUGCAAGGCACCCAUUGUCUCCUGCGGCCUGGUGGAAAACAUCCACAGCAUAGGAUGGAUCAUGCUUACUCAACUCUGGCUGGGAUAAAAUGGUUUUAGCUGGGAUAAAGCCUCAUUGUUAACUUCAGAAUAGGUAGCAUCUCAAUUCUAGAAUGAAGCUAAAAUUCCUUUCUUUCUAUCGUCAGCCACUAUCCAGGUCACUUCUUCCAGAAGUCCCUGUCUGCCCCCUACCCACUUGACUUUGGUCCAAAGGUCCUCUAACUAGGCCACAGAAUAGGCUUUCUGAAGGCACUGCAAAACCUGAAACACAGCAGGCAGCCUGUAAUUAGCAAUGAAGAUUCAUCCUUCCAUCAUUUUUGCUGGACUGUGCAGAACUUGGGUUCACUGUGUCUGCAGUUUUCAAACUUUUCUACUGAGCCUUUCUCCUGGUAGCUCUGGGUCAAAAUAAAAGGAAAAUAAUUUUAUCAUUAACAAA